Long non-coding RNA from Nylanderia fulva, 1156 nucleotides. RefSeq lists it as uncharacterized. The record is from RefSeq and is a predicted model, not a curated record. Lineage: Eukaryota; Metazoa; Arthropoda; Insecta; Hymenoptera; Formicidae.
CUGACAAAAGGAGACCCAGACGACCUACGAGCAUUUUCCCGCUAUUUCUCCGUGAGAUAAGUCCGAGCCUCGUUUAGUGCUGCCAUCUACAUCUGUACCACAGUAUAUACUGUGUAUAUAGUGUAUAUAGUAUAUACUGUGCCUGUACUACAGCUGGAAUUAUAUAGAGAGAAACAUGUUUGCAAUUAUAUUAAAAUAAUUUUAUAAUUUAUAGAAACGAGAACUACAAGAAGGCUUUAGAGAAAGGUAAUGCGUCUCCAAAAAUUGUGGUGGUCGAUUUAUAGGCAAUGGCACCCUUGGAAGGAGAUGUUCAACUAUGAGGUGACAUUAUUAACACCAAUACCACACAGCAGAUUAUUGCACAGUUUGAUAACAUUCAAGGAGAUCUGAUGGUGUGUGACGAAGCACCUGAUAAUUUUAUUCAGUGACUGGUUUAUGUGAAAUGGAUAUAUUCAUUCAAUCGCAGCUUUUAUUAGCUGCUCUGAAUAUAACUACACACAUUUUGAGACCUGGUGGAACGUUUGUGGCCCAAAUUUUUAGUGCUAAAGACGUAUCUUUCUUGUUCGCUCAAUUGAGGAUAUUUUCCCUAUUGUACGAAACCCAGUGGUUCUUGCAAUUCGAGUAAUGAAGCAUUUGUAGUCUGUAAAGACUAUUCUCCUAGAAGGCUGUAAACCACAUAUGCUGAACUCUUUACUGACACAUGAGCAACUUCGAAGAGCUGACAGGAGUCAAUAGAAUCAUUGUUCCAUUUGUUGUAUGCGGAGAUCUUAGUCAACAUGUGCUGAUUCCAACAUGUGCUAUCCACUAAAUUAACGAGAGAAGGACACCGCCCUAUACUGAGACGUUAUCCUCGCCAGAAAGUAGAAUAGCCAGUGGAACCAGCGCUUUUGUUUUCGAUCAUGACACCGAUUUUGACGAAGCCGACAUCAAUAGAGCGAUCGAAAUCGAAAGUGCGACAUGGGCUAAGAAAUGUGCAUUUAUUGGUGCUGUGCAAACCGAUUCUGAAACGAACACAACUGCAAAAACUGCUCAGGAUAAGAGUAAGGAAGAGGAAACAGCCAUCAAUGCAUUACAGAACUUGUACAUAUCCAAGGAAGCUGAAAAUCUAGAUAACUUUGAAUAAAAUAAAUAUAUUAUUUCAUAUUUGUUAAAUAAA